AGGUCAGUGGCUAUCUCGUCCGCCUGAAAAGCGGAAGGUCGACGGUUCGAUCCCGUCCCUGGCCA
RNAcentral lists this transfer RNA (65 nucleotides) under Actinomycetes bacterium. RNAcentral describes it as "tRNA-Phe". It matches the Rfam family "tRNA". Rfam says of the family: Transfer RNA (tRNA) molecules are approximately 80 nucleotides in length. Their secondary structure includes four short double-helical elements and three loops (D, anti-codon, and T loops). Lineage: Bacteria; Bacillati; Actinomycetota; Actinomycetes. The record is from RNAcentral.